This 279-nucleotide ribosomal RNA is filed under the name uncultured bacterium. RNAcentral's name for it is "partial 16S ribosomal RNA". It matches the Rfam family "Bacterial small subunit ribosomal RNA", at positions 506 to 784 of the family's 1533-position model. The record is from RNAcentral.
UGCCAGCAGCCGCGGUAAUACGGAGGGUGCAAGCGUUAAUCGGAUUCAUUGGGCGUAAAGGGCGCGUAGGCGGAAAGGUAAGUCAGAUGUGAAAUCCCGGGGCUCAACCCCGGAACUGCAUCUGAGACUGUUUUUCUAGAGGAUAGGCGGAGAAAGCGGAAUUCCACGUGUAGCGGUGAAAUGCGUAGAUAUGUGGAAGAACACCUGUGGCGAAAGCGGCUUUCUAGCUUAUUCCUGACGCUGAGGCGCGAAAGCAAGGGGAGCAAACAGGAUUAGAUA